This 126-nucleotide ribosomal RNA is filed under the name uncultured eukaryote. Its description in RNAcentral is "partial 18S ribosomal RNA". It matches the Rfam family "Eukaryotic small subunit ribosomal RNA", at positions 1534 to 1659 of the family's 1831-position model. The record is from RNAcentral.
CGGAAGGUCUGGGCAAUCUUUUUAAACUCUGUCGUGCUGGGGAUAGAGCAUUGCAAUUAUUGCUCUUCAACGAGGAAUUCCUAGUAAGCGCAUGUCAUCAGCAUGCGUUGAUUACGUCCCUGCCCU